GCCUUGUUGGAGGAUGUGUGCCACUGUGAGCUUGGGCUUUAAAACCCUCCUCCUAGCUGCCUGGAAGCACUCUUCUCCUAGUGGCCUUCAUAUGAAGAUGUAGGACUCUCAGCUCCUCUCAAUCCAAUCCUUCCAACAAGGCUCCCCAACUUCCAUCACAUCUUGAGCACCCUCCAUGGCGAAGACCAAGACUUCAACCUGCAAGGCUUUGAGGGACAUCUCAUAUGAAAACCAAUGCAUGCAGUUAAUGGGGGCUCUCAGGGAACCAAGGACAGACCAACAUAAGGAGACAAAGUCCAACUUGGUGAGCAAUGAGUUUUCUCGGAGUUACUUGCAGGAGUAUGGGUAAGACGUUAUUUACAGUAACGGAAAACACAAAGGCAAAACAUCACCAAAAGCCACCCCAGCUUGGGUAAUACUCCAUGACAGCUAGGAACCAUGGGCACAGGGUAAUACUUGCGUGCAGUUCAAUAGGUAGGAAAGUGGGGAUUUUUUGUCCGUUUGUUUUUGGGUUUGUUUUUUGUUUUGUUUUGCUUUUUUUUUUUUUGUCAGCAUAUUUGAUCUGAGCCUCUUCCAGACUACUCAGCUUCUUCGAGUGUCUUUCAGGCAUCCUUAUGGCUUAGAUGAGCUUGAGGAGGGAGAAGUCUUGUGAAUGUGGUAGAUUUUUGAGACUUCCUGAAUCUUAAGGAUCUCCCCUGCAGGAGAGGAUGCUUUCCCUCUUUGUAGCAUAUCCUGAGCCUCAAGGGGCUUCCCUCCAAGGUGGAAGAUUUUCUCUCCGAGGAAGCGUAAUGGUGAUACAGGCAGCGGUCCUCAACCACACCCUCUCACCACCAUGUUGUUCUGCCCAAGGACAUGGACACACAUUCUAAAACAAUCUAAACCCUUCCUUCCCUUAACCAUUUCCUCCUUCUAAGUCACAAAAUAGAAUGAAGUGUACAUGAGGCAUGGCCAGUGGAGAAGACGGCUGGCGGAGGCUCCAUUAUCAAAGCUCUGAACUUCCCACGUCCCUUCUACUUGGCGUGAAUACUAUCAGGACGGCUGUGUUCACCUGAAGCUAACCAAGAAGAGUACCUGUGUAGUCAGCACCAUCCGGAACUCUCUGCCUAAGCCUGGCCCCCUGGGAGGGGCCAGGACCCCACAUGCCUCUCCCAGGAAUUAUUCCUAACGACUUGCAGGCUGCUGUUGGCGAGCAGAGGAAGCAUCAUCACCCUGGAGCCCUCUCUCCACAUGACUCUGGAGGAGUUCUUUCACCUUCUGGCCUGGUUCUCUCCUCUGUAAGUUGAGUCAUAGGUUUGCCCGCCUGCCUAGGCCUUUCCUGAAUGGAGUUGGUGCCCUCCGUGGACUUCAGCUUCCCUGACCUUGUGCUUUGAGCUUGCCCAGCUUUCAUUAAACCUCACAUUCCGA
Non-coding RNA from Rattus norvegicus (Norway rat), 1404 nucleotides. NCBI's taxonomy places the organism in Eukaryota, Metazoa, Chordata, Mammalia, Rodentia, Muridae. The record is from RefSeq and is a predicted model, not a curated record.